UACGUAGGGUGCAAGCGUUAAUCGGAAUUACUGGGCGUAAAGCGUGCGUAGACGGUAGCGUAAGUCGGGUGUGAAAGCCCCGGGCUCAACCUGGGAAUUGCAUUCGAGACUGCUCUGCUAGGGUGCGGAAGAGGGAAGCGGAAUUUCCGGUGUAGCGGUGAAAUGCGUAGAUAUCGGAAGGAACACCAGUGGCGAAAGCGGCUUCCUGGUCCAGCACCGACGUUCAGGCACGAAAGCGUGGGGAGCAAACAGG
This 253-nucleotide ribosomal RNA is filed under the name uncultured bacterium. RNAcentral describes it as "partial 16S ribosomal RNA". It matches the Rfam family "Bacterial small subunit ribosomal RNA", at positions 524 to 776 of the family's 1533-position model. The record is from RNAcentral.